CCUACGGGUGACAGCAGUGAGGAAUAUUGGUCAAUGGACGAGAGUCUGAACCAGCCAAGUAGCGUGAAGGAUGACUGCCCUAUGGGUUGUAAACUUCUUUUAUAAAGGAAUAAAACGAGGCACGUGUGCCUUUUUGCAUGUACUUUAUGAAUAAGGAUCGGCUAACUCCGUGCCAGCAGCCGCGGUAAUACGGAGGAUCCGAGCGUUAUCCGGAUUUAUUGGGUUUAAAGGGAGCGUAGAUGGGUUGUUAAGUCAGUUGUGAAAUUUUGCGGCUCAACCGUAAAAUUGCAAUUGAAACUGGCAGUCUUGAGUACAGUUGAGGUAGGCGGAAUUCGUGGUGUAGCGGUGAAAUGCUUAGAUAUCACGAAGAACCCCGAUUGCGAAGGCAGCUUACUAUACUGUUACUGACAUUGAUGCUCGAAAGUGUGGGUAUCAAACAGGAUUAGAUACCCCAGUAGUC
This 460-nucleotide ribosomal RNA is filed under the name uncultured bacterium. RNAcentral describes it as "partial 16S ribosomal RNA". It matches the Rfam family "Bacterial small subunit ribosomal RNA", at positions 338 to 795 of the family's 1533-position model. The record is from RNAcentral.